Molecule: long non-coding RNA, 4234 nt
Organism: Podarcis raffonei (Aeolian wall lizard)
Lineage: Eukaryota; Metazoa; Chordata; Lepidosauria; Squamata; Lacertidae
Exons: 2
Source: RefSeq, a predicted model, not a curated record
CAGAGCCUCAACAAGUAGGAGAGCACUCGCACCCUCCUUUUAAGUUCAGGCUGUUGAAAACAGAUACACAUCCAUUUUGGGGGAAUGCUUUGGAACUGCGCGUGGCAGAGGCUAUUACACAGAGGGCAGGCUUUUUCCGGGGGGGGGGGGGAGAGAAAGAGGUGAGCCACAGAAAUUGGUGUGGGUACUAGCAGGAGGCAGAAGCAGAUAGUGCGCUUGAAGCAAGCGACUUGAUUGACUUCGACAGUGGAAUUAUGGUUUGAGGGGUGGAUGGGAGAGAGAGAGAUAAAAUGUGUGGGAGGGUACCACCCCGUUUAGACCUAACAACAAGAAUUACUGUAUAUGGCAGUUUAAAGACAACUUUGUAAAAGUGUGCUUCCCCACAAGGAAUCCAUCCUCAGCAACUGUAGGCAAUCUUACUAUUUCAAGUAAAUUACAGUGAUUUUUCUCUCUGUGGCAGGCAUCCCCAAACUCGGCCCUCCAGAUGUUUUGGGACUACAACUCCCAUCAUCCCUAGCUAACAGGACCAGUGGUCAGGGAUGAUGGGAAUUGUAGUCCCAAAACAUCUGGAGGGCCGAGUUUGCCAUGCCUGCUCUACGGCAUCCCCAACAUUCAUUUUAAAAAAUUAAGAUGUAGAUGCUUUAAGAUAAGAGUUUAAAGUCUGACAACUUGCUCUUGUUUUAGGCCUGUGCAUGAUCAAAACUGUAACACGCAUCUAUACUGUAAUAAUGCAUUGAUUUUCACUGCAAACCUUUUGGCAGCAACAGAACACACCCAGUUCUGCUUCUGAGAGUGGGGAAGUUGUCAUUUGGACGGAACUCAAGUUGCAUUGAGGCCUCAGGGACCAAAGAAGCUGUUUGGGGUUGGCAGAGGGCUGAACACAGUGUAAAAACUGCAUGACAGCUGGACAUUUCAUCAAAUAUCAAUAAGGCAGGAUGAGAAACCAUCACCUGGAAGUCCUUUUAAAACAGGUCAUGGUAACAGCUCCCCCACUGAAGCCUAUGACAAAAUAACUUCCAGCAGUAGAGGCCACUAUAGGAGGGGGCAGGGGGAGAAGCUCAUUAUUUUCAGUCUCCUGCUUUCUGUUUGCUUCUGGUUGAACGGUUGUAGAAAACAUACCAGUACACAGCAUCUUAAUUACUUUGUAUAAGAUAUAGAGUAUUGCUUUUAAAAAAUAGGUGUGAACUGGAACCUUUUGCUAUAAUACACAAAAGUCUGCCACUGUUUUAAUGCUUUAUUUGAAAGACAGUUUGUCCCAUUUAAUAUCCAUUUGGGGCAAAAAGUAAAAAAUCCUUCAACACUCUUCCAGUCUUGCUUCUCACAGCUUGAGUUCGCUUGGCAUGCUUUCUCCUUUCAGUCCAGCCAGAAGAUUGUUGGCAGCCAACACUGACAUGGCAUUCCUUGUGGCGUAGGUGGCGCUUCCAAUAUGAGGCAAAAUUACUGCUCAAGACACGGGGGGGGGGGGAAGCAAUUUAGGAAACGAGCCAGUAUUUAUCGACUUGUAAUCACUAGUUCAUGAAUAUAUCGUUUUAUCAGAUACUAUAUCUUGAUUCAUGAAAUCACUUGCUCAAGCCAACCCAUUCCCUCUGUAUUCUAUUUCCAGGGCCCCAUCUCUGUUAGAUCAGUGUUUAAAUAUAUUAUCUGUCUUUUGCAGGGCAUGCCAAUCCAAUUACAGCCCCAAAGAUGCCUGCCUUGCGGAAAGGAGCAGGAGUGCAAAAUUCAGAGGAUGCCCUCUGCAUUUUAUUUCUUGCUUUACCCAUGCACAUACUUAGGGCAACAUCGUGGGAGAGAGUAUAGAAAUGCCACAGGAUGUAGCAGGCAUAGAUUUCUUUUAAGAACAACUCCCAAUUUAGAAAAGAACGACCCACAAGUUUCUAGCCCUUAUAGUUGCAAAGAUGUUCUUUUGACACAUUUCCACAAGGAAAAACCUCUGCUUGCUAUUGAGCCUUGCCGGCUCAGUGCAAGUGAGACUUAAGCAGCACCUGUCUGCUUCUGAAAGGCAGCCGUUAAUUCCCCAGGAGGAGACGGUGCAGAAAUAGCCAUGUACACAUUAAGUCUUUAGCGGAGAUUCCUGCAUUGCAGGGGGUUGGGCUAGAUGACCCUUUGGGUCCCUUCCAACUCUACGAUUCUAUGAAAUUAAGUCAGCUUACCACAGUUCUUGAGGCAAAGAAGCGGAUUAUCAGUAGGCAGAGGUUCUGGGGUUGUAACAUCCAAGCCCGCUGCUGCGAUGUGGCCAUUGACUAAAGCUUCGUAUAGGUCCUUUUGAUUGACAACAGUGCCCCUAACAGAGCAAAGGGAGAAAACGGGCGUGAAGGUGUUAUUGAGCCUACAUUGCAAGCUGCAGUAAAUAAUUCAACAAGACUCUCACUGGGGAAAUAUGGAUUGUGGCUUUUCUUGACAGCUUAAUACUACCACACUGUUUAUGCCUUGCCUGAAGCGGCAAGGGUGCUGCUUUGCUGGGCUGCAUCCCCCAUCACUCUGGUACUCUAGGAAAUUGUAUGGGGGGGGCAGCUUCCCCCAAUCAGUGCAAGCAGCAGUGACACAGAAAUAGUGCUAAGGAUUAAAUGACUCCCAGGGUCAUUUGCUUAUUAUUUGACUUAUUGCACUAACAGAAGACAGCGCAAUGAUUCGUGCUAGUGCAAUGAGACUUCACCCCUCCUCUCACUGCACCCAAGCUUCUUGGCGGGGGCGGGGCGGGGGGAGACUGUUAUGUCAGGCAAACAGAAAUGCUUGAACUGAUGGGACCUUCGCGCUAUGCAGAAUACAACCUGCUGAUAUUGUACAUGCUAAGUUUCCUAUUUUGGCUGGUGUUUGCUGCUUUAGAAAUGCAUAGGUAUGGAGCUAGGCAACCGGUUUUUAGAUAGACUGAGCAAUAUACAGCACUCACAGGAGCAAUGAAUGUCUUGUCUAAGGGAAGGACUGCAGAAUAUUAGUUUUGAGUGGUGCAGGCCUGGAUAGUGAUAGACCUCAAGAGAGAUCCAGCUAGUUAAGUGUUGUGAAUAUGGAAAGCUUAUUUCCACAAGUGCUGCUUCUUUACAAAACCAGGGCAAAUGUCUCAUAAAGGAAGCACAGCUGUGAGGGAAGAUGUGGCGUCUUGUACUGCCAUGUGUUCAUCGUACAGUGAAGAGAUUUGGACGCGGUGGAGGACCUUAAUUAAAACGGGGAGGGGGAAUGAUUUGUGCAUUUUAAAAAACUUGUGAUAGACAAGGGUAUGUUGCAAAUCUAGGCUCACGCUCCUCCAUACUGUCAUGUUACUUCAGUCAUGCUAUGCAGUAGCACUGGGACUUGGCAUUGUCUUGGGGGAUGUGCCCCCGAUUCCCAGCCUCCACUCUGGGCCACAUCUGGUUUUACCUGCUUGUGUUGAUGAACACAGACGUCUUCUUCAUCUUGCAAAAGAAGUCCCGAUUGCACAUCCCCUGAGUGUCUGGUGUCAGAGAACAUGUCACAAUGACAAAGUCCGACUCUUCCGCUAGCUUGGCAAGGGGCACUGGAGAAAAGAAAGAAAGAGGAAACUCACUGUGGUCUGUCUAAGAGGUUUACCUACUUUCACUAGCUUUUCCUAUUCACCAAAACAGCAAGGGUCCUUCUGAAUAGAGUCAGGAGAGCAGGGAUGAUUCAGGCAUGCUUGAGUCUGCACAAUUAUGCUGUUGGCACUCCUUGAAGCCUGUUGCGGCAUUCAUAUGAGCCAAGUCAACUGGGAGGAAUUGCCCUAUUUCUGUUUUCAGAGUGUACUGUUCUCCCCAACACCAUGAGGACGAUGAUGUACAGCAAUGUGUGCAUAUCCAAGUAUUCUGUUCUUUCAAAAGGAUCCUGUUUGACUCAUUGAACUACGUGGCACUCUGGGCUCUGAACUGCUCUGAACAAAAACCUAACAACCAUCCAGUUUGUGCUGUACUUUGCCUGAAGGGAUGGAUGACUGAUCUACUGAUCUUCCAAAACAUGCCUGUGUAAGGUGCAUGUGGCUGCCAUGUUUGUUCCAUAUUGACUCUUUACUUGCGGUGCAGCAGUCGGUACGUCUCAUUGUAAACAGCAUGUCUCCAGACGGGAAUUGCUGUUCUCUAAGCGAGACUAAGGUUAACUGGUGAUGGCUGGGUCCCUGCUUUGGCAAUGCUUGCAUGACCAAAUGACUUAGGAGGUGGGGUGCAUAGCCCUGAUUCACGAAGGGAUGUAUACUCCUCACUUUUAACUAUGGUCACCGGGAACAGGAACAAAUAAAUCUUAAGGUUUUGUCAAA